Small nuclear RNA from Vulpes vulpes (red fox), 104 nucleotides. The record is from Ensembl. NCBI's taxonomy places the organism in Eukaryota, Metazoa, Chordata, Mammalia, Carnivora, Canidae.
GUUUUCCCUUUGGCAACACAUAGACUAAAAUUGGAACAGUACAGAGGUUAGCCUGGACAUCCCACAAGGAUGACACACAAAUUCACAAUACAUCCCCUUUAAAA